CAACUCGACUCCAUGAAGCUGGAUUCGCUAGUAAUCGCGCAUCAGCCAUGGCGCGGUGAAUACGUUCCCGGGCCUUGUACACACCGCCCGUCAAGCCAUGGGAGUCGGGAGUGCCUGAAGUUCGUGACCGUCACAGGAGCGACCUAAGGCAAGACCGAUGACUGGGGCUAAGUCGUAACAAGGUACC
Molecule: ribosomal RNA, 187 nt
Filed under: uncultured bacterium
Lineage: Bacteria
Description: partial 16S ribosomal RNA
Rfam family: Bacterial small subunit ribosomal RNA
Source: RNAcentral